AACAGUGACUGCUCUGAAACCUGCUUACCUUCAUCCAGAGGAGAAAUGCAUCCCCUGUCUGGACGCGGCACAGACCCAACAUCACUGAGAGCUGUCCACCCCCAAGUAUGUCUGCCACAAUCACCCCUGACUCACGCACAUGCAGCAGUUCCUCUCUCUGCACGAGGCAUUUAGCUGAUGAGGUCACUCCUUCCUGAGCCUGAGGACAAACACACGGUUUGUUGUGGAGAAGCAUCACAGGUGACCCACCUCACCCUGGACGGUCACUUUUCUCCACCUUUCCUCCAGGCAGACCGAGAGCCGCAUGACUCAAAGAGAGAGUUUCUUCCCUCCGGACGUCUCAGUUCAGAUACACUUUGAACUUUACAUUUUUAGAUUCAGAUUCAAAAUGCAUGUUUCCGGGUAACGAUGACCCAUUUAUGCAACUGACUGACUAAUUUUGUGUAAAUAAAUACAUUGAUUAUUAACGGUAUUCAAUGGA
This is a long non-coding RNA of Poecilia latipinna (sailfin molly), 481 nucleotides long. RefSeq lists it as uncharacterized. The transcript has 2 exons. The record is from RefSeq and is a predicted model, not a curated record. Lineage: Eukaryota; Metazoa; Chordata; Actinopteri; Cyprinodontiformes; Poeciliidae.